UACAGAGGUCUCAAGCGUUGUUCGGAUUCAUUGGGCGUAAAGGGUGCGUAGGCGGUGCGGUAAGUCACCUGUGAAACCUCUGGGCUUAACUCAGAGCCUGCAGGCGAAACUGCCGUGCUGGAGUGUGGGAGAGGUGCGUGGAAUUCCCGGUGUAGCGGUGAAAUGCGCAGAUAUCAGGAGGAACACCGGUGGCGAAGGCGGAUCUCUGGGCCAUUACUGACGCUGAGGAGCGAAAGCGUGGGGAGCGAACAGG
This 253-nucleotide ribosomal RNA is filed under the name uncultured bacterium. Its description in RNAcentral is "partial 16S ribosomal RNA". It matches the Rfam family "Bacterial small subunit ribosomal RNA", at positions 524 to 776 of the family's 1533-position model. The record is from RNAcentral.